RNAcentral lists this ribosomal RNA (1071 nucleotides) under Rhizophagus intraradices. RNAcentral's name for it is "LSU rRNA". It matches the Rfam family "Bacterial large subunit ribosomal RNA", at positions 786 to 1851 of the family's 2925-position model. The record is from RNAcentral. Lineage: Eukaryota; Fungi; Glomeromycota; Glomeromycetes; Glomerales; Glomeraceae.
CCGUUGCAAGGGACUCCGAAGAGCCGUGGCAAGGGGUGAAAAGCCAAUCUAACCUGGAGAUAGCUGGUCUUCUGCGAAACCCGUUUCAGCGGGUCGCCCAUUUAUUGAAAUUAAAUUCGUUACUAGACGGUACGGCACUGGAAGCCACGCAGCUUUUGCUGCAUAAUCGGGGGGCUGUCAUGGCUCUAUCGAUGGCUUCUAACCCCGGAAAUGUAUAGUAUACAAUGAUGGGCAAUCAGACGUAUCGUGAUAAGGCGAUUCGUCAAAAGGGCAACAGCCCAGAACAGGUGUGAAGGUCCCUAACAAGCUACUGAGUGAACACAAGGCAGUCCUCUCCAGUGUCUCUCCACAAAGUGGGCUUGGAAGCAGCCACCUUUUAGCGAUAGCGUAACAGCUCAGUGGUCUGAGCCUCCCUGUAAAAAGGGUAUAUUGCCUGGUGAGGGCGCCAAAAAUGUAACGGGUCUAUAGUAGUUGUCUCUCUGUUCCAGCUUUGGAUAUGGAGGGAGUGGCAGUUUCUUUACUGUCUCACCGAAACCCUGUCCUAGAUGUAAAAUUCUAGGGGUAGCAGAAUACCCAGCAAAUGGAAUGAAGCUUGCUCAUUGAGCCGGUGGACAUAGCUGGGCUAAGAAUGCUGACAUGAGUAGCCUAAAAGGAGGGUAAUUCCCUCUUCGCCGAAAGCAGAAGGGUUUCAUUUGUAAGGUCUAUACCUAGAUGAUUAAAGCAGCGGCCUCUAAGGUUCAGAGUAACAAAUUAGUUCCGAUGAGUAACUCUUCUAUAGGGCAGUAACCUUCCUUAUAAGUUUACCUUCAAGUAAUUAGAGGUAUACUUCAAAGAGUAAGGUUCGGGAAAGAGCCCUACAGAAUAAAUCUUAAAACCGUACCCUAAACCGACACAGGUCUGCAAGUAGAGCAUACUAAGGCGUAGAGAUAAUCGUCUUGAAGGAACUCGGCAAAAUGACCCCGUAACUUCGGGAGUAGGGGUGCCACUAAUAAGUGGCGGCACUAAACAGGGGGGCGCGACUGUUUACUUAAAACACCGGACUCUGCUAACACUAGCGUGGAUGUAUAGAGU